AAUCAACGCUGGCGGCGUGCCUCAGACAUGCAAGUCGAACGCGAAAGUUUCCUUCGGGAAGCGAGUAGAGUGGCGCACGGGUGAGUAACACGUAAGUAAUCUACCUCGGGGUGGGGAAUAACAUCGGGAAACCGAUGCUAAUACCGCAUAAUGCAGCGGCUUCUUAUGAAGACAGUUGUUAAAGCAUUUAUGUGCCUGGAGAGGAGCUUGCGGCAGAUUAGCUAGUUGGUAAGGUAAUGGCUUACCAAGGCAACGAUCUGUAGCCGACCUGAGAGGGUGGUCGGUCACACUGACACUGAAUAACGGGUCAGACUCCUACGGGAGGCAGCAGUCGGGAAUUUUGGGCAAUGGGCGCAAGCCUGACCCAGCAACGCCGCGUGAAGGAUGAAGUAUUUCGGUAUGUAAACUUCGUAAAAUAGGAAGAGUAAUGACGGUACUAUUUGUAAGGUCCGGCUAACUACGUGCCAGCCGCCG
Molecule: ribosomal RNA, 474 nt
Filed under: uncultured bacterium
Lineage: Bacteria
Description: bacterial SSU rRNA
Rfam family: Bacterial small subunit ribosomal RNA
Source: RNAcentral